AGAGUUUGAUCCUGGCUCAGGAUGAACGCUGGCGGCGUGCCUAAUACAUGCAAGUCGAGCGAACGGACGAGAAGCUUGCUUCUCUGAUGUUAGCGGCGGACGGGUGAGUAACACGUGGAUAACCUACCUAUAAGACUGGGAUAACUUCGGGAAACCGGAGCUAAUACCGGAUAAUAUUUUGAACCGCAUGGUUCAAAAGUGAAAGACGGUCUUGCUGUCACUUAUAGAUGGAUCCGCGCUGCAUUAGCUAGUUGGUAAGGUAACGGCUUACCAAGGCAACGAUGCAUAGCCGACCUGAGAGGGUGAUCGGCCACACUGGAACUGAGACACGGUCCAGACUCCUACGGGAGGCAGCAGUAGGGAAUCUUCCGCAAUGGGCGAAAGCCUGACGGAGCAACGCCGCGUGAGUGAUGAAGGUCUUCGGAUCGUAAAACUCUGUUAUUAGGGAAGAACAUAUGUGUAAGUAACUGUGCACAUCUUGACGGUACCUAAUCAGAAAGCCACGGCUAACUACGUGCCAGCAGCCGCGGUAAUACGUAGGUGGCAAGCGUUAUCCGGAAUUAUUGGGCGUAAAGCGCGCGUAGGCGGUUUUUUAAGUCUGAUGUGAAAGCCCACGGCUCAACCGUGGAGGGUCAUUGGAAACUGGAAAACUUGAGUGCAGAAGAGGAAAGUGGAAUUCCAUGUGUAGCGGUGAAAUGCGCAGAGAUAUGGAGGAACACCAGUGGCGAAGGCGACUUUCUGGUCUGUAACUGACGCUGAUGUGCGAAAGCGUGGGGAUCAAACAGGAUUAGAUACCCUGGUAGUCCACGCCGUAAACGAUGAGUGCUAAGUGUUAGGGGGUUUCCGCCCCUUAGUGCUGCAGCUAACGCAUUAAGCACUCCGCCUGGGGAGUACGACCGCAAGGUUGAAACUCAAAGGAAUUGACGGGGACCCGCACAAGCGGUGGAGCAUGUGGUUUAAUUCGAAGCAACGCGAAGAACCUUACCAAAUCUUGACAUCCUUUGACAACUCUAGAGAUAGAGCCUUCCCCUUCGGGGGACAAAGUGACAGGUGGUGCAUGGUUGUCGUCAGCUCGUGUCGUGAGAUGUUGGGUUAAGUCCCGCAACGAGCGCAACCCUUAAGCUUAGUUGCCAUCAUUAAGUUGGGCACUCUAAGUUGACUGCCGGUGACAAACCGGAGGAAGGUGGGGAUGACGUCAAAUCAUCAUGCCCCUUAUGAUUUGGGCUACACACGUGCUACAAUGGACAAUACAAAGGGCAGCGAAACCGCGAGGUCAAGCAAAUCCCAUAAAGUUGUUCUCAGUUCGGAUUGUAGUCUGCAACUCGACUACAUGAAGCUGGAAUCGCUAGUAAUCGUAGAUCAGCAUGCUACGGUGAAUACGUUCCCGGGUCUUGUACACACCGCCCGUCACACCACGAGAGUUUGUAACACCCGAAGC
Molecule: ribosomal RNA, 1438 nt
Filed under: Staphylococcus aureus M1081
Lineage: Bacteria; Bacillati; Bacillota; Bacilli; Caryophanales; Staphylococcaceae
Description: bacterial SSU rRNA
Rfam family: Bacterial small subunit ribosomal RNA
Source: RNAcentral